Wasmannia auropunctata (little fire ant) is the source of this 1027-nucleotide long non-coding RNA. RefSeq lists it as uncharacterized. Lineage: Eukaryota; Metazoa; Arthropoda; Insecta; Hymenoptera; Formicidae. The record is from RefSeq and is a predicted model, not a curated record. The transcript is spliced from 3 exons.
GUCAGAGUAUAGUAGAGUAUACUCGCCGCUAUAUUUUCCCUCCCUUUUCGCGUCCCCCUUUCCUUCUCCUAUACCUAGUCGUAUCCUCGUCCGAGCUCAGACUCGUCAUAAUGCAAUUAACGAUUGAACCGAGCCGAAACCGAACAAGUUCUCGUUUGUUACGCGUGUUACGACGCAACGCGAGAUCGCCCGAUCACGGAUUCCCAGUUGAACACUCCGUUGUCUGCUCCUCCUCCGUCAGGGUCGUUCCCCCGGUGAGCGCGCCCGACAAAAAGAAGAGCCAAUCGAGAUGUCACGAGAGAAUUAACUUGGACCAAGAGCGAUAGAAGCGAAGGAGUACUCGAUAAACUAAAGUACAGAAGCCAUUGAGUUCCGAGUAGAAAACAAUUCGCCUUAAAGAAGCGAAUUAAUCCCCCACUGACAGAUUCUUUGGCGAAUUUGGAGGUGAUUCCAUCGUAGGGGGAGAAAAUGUCAAAAGAGAUGGAUUUUUUUACACGACUCUUCAAUUUUCAUUAUUGAAUGAGUAGUAUUAAUUUAAAUUAGAAACAGAAGGUGAGAAUCUUGCAAGGACGCCGAUGCGGGCAGUAACGUUGCGGUCUGAAUGGCGGAACGUCGUCGAAAAACGAAUCGGCGGAGGAAUAAUUGCCGAAAGGCGAUAGUCACCAGGUGGAGGAGAAAUAUCGGUGCUAAUUACGUCGAUAGCGAAUAGAUAUCGAGGUGCAGCACGGUUAGUUCGAACUGACCGAUAUACUGAUCGUCGCCAAUUGCGAACGAAUGUUACAAGGAACGCUAUUAUUAGCGCGCGUUGGAUCGGGAAAACCUGACGACACAGAAUGAUGCUUAAAUUCGACAGACUAUCAAUAUUCGUAUCGACUCAACAUCCAACAUUAUGAGCGAAUUCAACGUAUUUUUUUAUCGAGCCCAGACAUUGGUACUGAUAAAAAAUAAAAAGGAAUAUAUCUUGAAAAACAAGAAGAGAUGUAUGGCGGAAAGAUGAUGGAAUAAAAAUUACAUUUUAAAAAGGCAA